RNAcentral lists this ribosomal RNA (797 nucleotides) under uncultured archaeon. RNAcentral describes it as "bacterial SSU rRNA". It matches the Rfam family "Archaeal small subunit ribosomal RNA", at positions 41 to 861 of the family's 1478-position model. The record is from RNAcentral.
CGCGUACGGAUGUAGUCGUGCGAUACAGCGGCGAACGGCUCCGUAACACGUGGAUAACCUACCCACAGGAAGGGGAUAACCCCGGGAAACUGAGGCUAAUCCCCUAUAAGCAAGGAAAGCUGGAAGGCUUCUUUGCACAAAGGUCCGCCGCCUGUGGAUGGGUCCGCGCCUGAUUAGGCUGUUGGUAGGGUAAAGGCCUACCAAACCAGUGAUCAGUACGGGCAAUGAGAGUUGGAGCCCGGAGAUGGGGACUGAGACAAGGCCCCAGGCCCUACGGGGCGCAGCAGCUACGAAAACUUCACAAUGCCCGAAAGGGUGAUGAGGGAACCCCAAGUGCUUCCGUUUUACGGAAGCUUUUCUCUGGCUUAAGGAACCAGGGGAAUAAGAGCUGGGUAAGACCGGUGCCAGCCGCCGCGGUAACACCGGCAGCUCAAGUGGUCGCCGCGUUUAUUGGACCUAAAGCGUUCGUAGCCGGACAUGUAAGUCUUCAGGUAAAUCGUGCGUCUAAUCGUAUGGCUUCUGGAGAUACUGCAUGUCUUGAGGCCGGGAGAGGUGAGAGGUACUCCAGGGGUAGCGGUAAAAUGCUAUAAUCCUUGGGGGACCACCGGUGGCGAAGGCGUCUCACUGGAACGGCCCUGACGGUGAGGGACGAAACCCAGGGAGCGAGCCGGAUUAGAUACCCGGGUAGUCCUGGCGUAAAUUAUGCGGAUAUAGUGUGACGUUAUCUACGAGAUACGUCAUGCCGUAGGGAGCCGUUAAGUCCGCCGUCUGGGGAGUACGUCGCAGCUGAACUAAAG